Molecule: ribosomal RNA, 253 nt
Filed under: uncultured bacterium
Lineage: Bacteria
Description: partial 16S ribosomal RNA
Rfam family: Bacterial small subunit ribosomal RNA
Source: RNAcentral
UACGUAGGGUGCAAGCGUUGUCCGGAAUUAUUGGGCGUAAAGAGCUCGUAGGCGGUUUGUCGCGUCGGAUGUGAAAUCCCGGGGCUUAACCCCGGGUCUGCAUUCGAUACGGGCUGACUAGAGUUCGGCAGGGGAGACUGGAAUUCCUGGUGUAGCGGUGAAAUGCGCAGAUAUCAGGAGGAACACCGGUGGCGAAGGCGGGUCUCUGGGCCGAUACUGACGCUGAGGAGCGAAAGCGUGGGGAGCGAACAGG